UCCCCAAAUUAAAAACCCUCAUUCCUCUCGCAGAUAAGCCAUCUCAAAACGCGAAGAAGACCAUCUUUGGACGACACCCGUUCCCGUCACCACCACAGCCCUCUCAUUCCCGUCUUCUCACUCUAGUACUAUCGCAACCUCCUCUAUCGAACGACAAACCUCCUCUAUGGUAACCUGUUUAAUCCAUGCCUGUCAUCUCCAAUCCGCCGCAAUCUCUUCAACAUUCAAACUACGAUCGUCACCUCCUCUGUCGGUAAGUCAAUUGUUCCUUUUCUCUUUCUCUCUCUUUGCAAAGUUGUUCUCUUGUCACUACUUCCCUUAACUCCAUGAGUCGUCCGUAAGGUCUGAAAUUUUUGACUUCGUUUGAAUUUCCUCUUUUGGGCAAACACCCCUACGUGAUGUAUGUGAAAUAAAUGUUGGGUUUAUCUUUAACUUAAAUUAGACCAAAAAAUAUUAAGACUUGAAGCUGAAAGAGAGUAAGAAAAAAAGGGAGAAGGUCCUGAAAAUGUCCUUCAUGUGUUUAGGUUUAUGAGAUGUUUAUUUAAGGAAAUUUUGAUUUAGGAUAUAUUCUUUUAUUAUAUGGCACCGCCCCUUGUCUUAAUUUUAUAUAAUACUAUUUGGUGAUGUGUUUUGUUGGUUUUUCUGCUAUGCAUUUUUUCAUGAGAAGAUUGUUCUUUGGUGUUUAGCGGAGCCUAAUAACUUCAUCCUUAGUUGAGAAAGACUUCUCUAACUCUAACUUAGGAGGAGCCUAAAGGUAAGUAUUUGUUGAUGGUAGUAGACACAGUAGACCUUUAUUUAUCAAUUUGUGGGGUCUAAUUGAAUUUCUUUAACUUCAAAUUUUGCUUCAAUCUCUCUAUUUUAGUACUUUUAGAAUACUUACUUUUUGUCAUUGAUGUUAAUUUUGCUUUAUUUUUGUCUUUACACUCUUAAAUUAAUUAACUUUUGGCAUUUCGACUUCUUCGCUAUAUGAAGGCAAGUACUUACUUUUAUGUACUCGAGACUCUUUCUUAUUUUAACUUUUUCCAUUUUAUUUUGAUUUUUAAUUACAAGUUCUUUUGAAAAUUGUUUGUUUAUCUAUUAACGUUGAGAAGAGAAUAAAAUGUUCUCUUCAUUUUUUAUUAUUGAAAUUUUGGUGGUUUUUUUUUGUUUGUUUGUUUUUUGUUUCUUUUUUGCUUCUUUCACUUUGUGGGAGAAGAAAAAGGUAGAAGUAAAACAUUUUAUGUUUUAUUUUAUAUUUUACUAAAAAUACUUUUUAGCAAGAGUAAUACAUAAAUGUAACAAGAGUAAUUUAGUGCAAAAAUAUUUGCGUAUGGAAGGUGUUUGUGAAAAUUCCUGAGAGAUCUGGACUGUGGCUUUGUUUUAUACAAUUUGUUUUAAGCAUAUUUUGACUAUUGAAUUGGAAAUGGACUUUUAGAAUCCAACCCAUUUGCUUUAAUUGCACAAAUUGCUAGUGCAAGGAUUUGACUCCAACUCAUGCAGUCUAAAUAAUGGUUUGUUAUUAUUGUUAGCUUAUUUGUCCAAUUCUAGUGUAAAUUAUUAGAAACUUCCUGCCCUGAGUUUUGUAUUUACCCACUAGCAUUUCAUGAUUCAAUUUUCAGAUCUAUUUGAACUAUCAACCCAGAUUUAUAACUUCAAUGUUGGGUCUUUGGUGAAAGAAAAUGCUAGAACCCAAAUUUGAACUGAACUGUAUAUUUAUUAAUCUCUAAAAAGUUUGGUAGUGUGACCUAUAACAGUUUGACAACGAUUUUAAGGAUUAAGAAAUGGUGGAGUUUGAAAGGAAGAAAUCAAAAUUUCCAAGAAACGAGCAAACAUAGUAAAGAAGAAAAUGGGAAAUGGUGAACUGAACGUGUUGCACUAAAAUCCAAGUUUUGACUGUUUCCAUGUCUUUGCUGCCUUCUCAUAUUUCAAAGGAGUUCGUUUCUUGUUUUUGUUAAUUUUUUUUUUGUCCAUAUUGAUUUGUUUUAUGUUGAGCAAUUAAGUUGAAAUAGCAUUCAAGUAUGUUAAUUAAAAAAUGUGGAUCAUUAUUAUUUAAUUCUUGUGUUUUGUUUACUAUGAUUGUGGAGUUAUAUUCUCUAUUAUUGUGCAAGGACUACUCUGGUCAGUUACUGUUCUAUAUCUUUGCUGAAGACAUGAUACUGGUAAUGGUGGCUUGAACAUUAGACUCGAGAAUGAUUACAACAAUGCCUCAUGGAAAAUCUUCACGUGAAACAGAAGGAAAGCACCUGAUUGGUGAAACAAUGUGUCGAUGCAAUACCUCAAAGUCUUGAGGAAGUCAAGAAAAUCAAGGUAUAUACAUGAGGCAUCCCAAAAUUUUAUAUUCUAAACUAAAACUUUCAUUAGAGAUAUCAAUGAAACCUUCUAACAAGUGACUGUUUCAGCCCAAGAAUAAUCCAACCUUAGGCUUCAAUCAAUAACAGUCCCAAUCUUCAUACACCAACAAACCAAUGUAGUGAAACAUCAGAGAUUGUUGUUAACGAAAACUUGAUUCAGAUUAUCAAAAUAUAGGAACCCAAGAAAGGGUAAAACAUAAUUGAACUUACGACUUCACUAGAACAACAACAAAAUAAUAUUUAAACAUACCAUUUGAAAGCAACAAAUUUAGACAGAGAUAAUAAAUGUAAAGAGAUAAUUCAUUUAGCAAACAUAUUGUUGAGUCUCAUAUACAUGUGACCUACGAUAUACUCAUGGGACAGGAUAUCAAAACACAGUAGAUUUACACCAUAGACUAAAUCUAGAGACACAAAAAGCACUUAGAAA
This is a long non-coding RNA of Cucumis sativus (cucumber), 2757 nucleotides long. RefSeq lists it as uncharacterized. Lineage: Eukaryota; Viridiplantae; Streptophyta; Magnoliopsida; Cucurbitales; Cucurbitaceae. The transcript has 2 exons. The record is from RefSeq and is a predicted model, not a curated record.